AGCAGCACAGUUAAAUCUUGCUGAGCUGUCGGCCUGGCACAAGGACGUGUACCCCCGGGAAGGAACCCGGCAGCGCUGCAUCCCUCUCCCAGCAUCUCUGAACCCCUGACAGUGAAGGAGCAGGGCAGGGUCCAACUCCUUCAUGCGGUUACCGUUGCACAGAGGAAGAAACCAUCUUCUGGGUGUGUAUACAUUCGGUGUAGAGGGGAUGAGCACGCACUGCCUGUGGCUUUCCAACCCGUGUCUCCAGCUGGGUAAGGUGGCAGAGAACAGGCUGGGGGUGCUGGAGCCUCACGUGGCCCUGCAGGGCAUCAGCCUUCAGCCCUGCAGGCUCGGGAAAUUGAGUGAGUGUGUUCCCGAAGAGAGACACGUCUAAAUUAUGCUCAAGUUGUCCUGGGUAUGGUAGCGAUGGGUGAGUCAGACGGCAGCAGACCGACCUGAGGGAGGGUGUGUGUUGCAGAAAUGGCUUUUCCACUGCUGCUCAGACUCAUUUCCUCUUGCAUCGAGAUGACUCGAGACAUGUUUUAAUAACAGCACGGUCAUCUGCUCGCUGCUUAUUGCUCAGGGCAGGAAUACGCAAUCCCAGACCCCAGGAAUAUUUUGCCUUUUUUUUUUUUUUUUUUUUGGAGAGACCGCUAGGAAGUAUCCCAACUUGAAUUCUGCAUUCGGUGCUGGCGUUAAGGCAUGGUAUUUUAAAGCCUUUUUGCUGGGUGCAAGCCCAGCCCAGCAUCUUUCCCCGAGACCUCGGCCAGCGAGGUGACCUCGCGCUUGUGGCAGACGGAGGUUGCACCCUGAGCUCUGCCGAGGAUGGGUGCUGGUUCCCCCUGGGACCUGCAGGGCUGAGCGAGGGGACGGGACCCCCCCACCCCAGCAUCUGCUCCGUCGGUGGUACCUGGAGAGACAUCAGAUACGGUGGGACCUGCGGGGGGGUCUCUGCCUUGGGAUGAGGAUGCAGAAGAUGGUGCAGAAGAGCCCCCGGCUUCUCCGAGGAUGCUCCGACGGUCCCCAGCACUUCGUGUCGGACAUGUCGCGGUGGUGGGCACCGGCCCGUGGCAGGAGGGCGGUUUUCCUGUCCUGCUGCAAAUGUUUACAGCAUGGGGAGAGUUUUGUUGCAUGUGGGAGAACCCUUGGGAUGAACGUGUGUCACGCAGAGGUUUUGUGUUCCUGCAGCUAUGCCGUUUCUGUCUGCAGCGACGGUGCUUGGGAUUUGCUCGUUUUGGGAGUGCUGGAGCGCCGACAGUGCAGACCAGCUACAGAACAGGAAAGAGAACGGCAGAGGAGGAGUGAACGUGACCCAGCACCCCCGUCUCUGCUCCUGAGAGCAGCUCUCCCCUGGGCUCUGUGUUCGCAUGAAGGAGGCAGCUGAGAUAAGGAGGCAGAGCGCCGCAGCCUUGGCAGCCUGGCCAGACACCAGCGUUUUCCCAAAAAAGCAUUUCUCAGGUGUCCUGCGCCAUUCUGCAGCGCUGCUCCUGGUCCCUCUCAUUCCUGAGUUCACCCUCACGGCCAAAUUUUUCUCCUGGUUUUUCUAGGGGUGUCUGUCAAAACUUAUUUAACUGUCAGCAUAUAUGAAAUCAUACAUGUGUAACUACACAAACAGUGGACAUUAAAUGGCUCUGGAUGCUCAGAAGUCCUGCUGUGCACCUGUUUUCCCCGCAGUGAGGAGAUGCGCAAUCGCCAGCGACCCCGCACCGAGCCGUUCUGAGUGAGGACAGGCUGAGAAAUGGCUGGGCUCCUCAAAGUAAGAACGACAAACCCAGCGCUCCCAAUAGUCGCUUAGUGGCUGAGAUAUUCUGGAAAGAUCAACAACAUAUUUUGAAUUAAUCGACAAAAGUUUUACAGAAGCAAUAACAAUAUUCCCUGCAAUGCCUAACCUGUGUUUCUGCUCUGACUAUUGAAGAUUGCAAGAUAUGCACGCGCUAUUUAUUCAAAUAACAACUCUAGUCUUUUUUUCCUAGUAUAACAAUGAAUAAAACGUANNNNNNNNNNNNNNNNNNNNAAGGA
Molecule: long non-coding RNA, 2001 nt
Filed under: Anser cygnoides (Swan goose)
Lineage: Eukaryota; Metazoa; Chordata; Aves; Anseriformes; Anatidae
Description: lncRNA (ENSACDG00005004467.1)
Source: RNAcentral